This 1611-nucleotide unclassified non-coding RNA is filed under the name Anthonomus grandis grandis. Its description in RNAcentral is "zinc finger protein 142-like". The record is from RNAcentral. Lineage: Eukaryota; Metazoa; Arthropoda; Insecta; Coleoptera; Curculionidae.
AUUGGAUGUUGAACGUUGCAUUGUUGACAAAAGUAAAAUGUCAAACAAAUAAUAAAUAACCCUUCUAUAAUAAAUUAAGUAAAAAGGGAUGGAACCUUCGGAAUUUAAGCUAGAAGAGCCCGAAUAUGUAGACAUAAGUGAACUAAACUUAGAUAUGACUAUUAGUUCUGGGGAGAUAACUCCUUCCAGUAAUAUACUUGAACAGUUCUAUACGUGUGCGCUCUGCAACUAUAAAACCAAGACUAAAAGUCUUUUAAUAACCCAUGGACUGACCCACCAGGAAACCGAGAAUAUUUUUGAAAAACAUGCAGGAACUCAUUUAUCCAAUAGAAUAUUCAAAUGUGGGGUAUGUAGCUUCGAGACCAGAGUUCAAGACACUUUUGAAAAACACUUGCAAACUCACAAUCCUACGAAGCCCAUUAAGAGGUAUUUGUGUUACAGCUGCGAUUACGAAACUAGAGAUAAAAGUGCUUUGCAAAAGCACGAGCUGACACAUAAGAGUAUCGAUGAAGUAGAGCAUUAUAAAUGUGAGCAGUGCAAUUUUGUUACAAAGCAUCUUGUAUCGAUGCAUAAUCAUGUGCUCAAGAUUCAUAAUAAGGAUAAGAUUGAGAAGUUUCAAUGUCCGGACUGUGACUUUAGUACAUAUCAUAAGGUUUCUCUUAAAAGUCAUAGUUUAACCCACAAAAAGCCUGGUGAAGUGCCGAUGUACAAAUGCUCAGAAUGCCCAUACGAAACUAAAAAUAAACAGUUCCUAUCCAAUCACAUGAAAAAACAUUUGGACAGCGUCGCGUGCCCGAUAUGCCAAAAGAUGAUUGUUCACCGAGGGAUGCCUCUGCACCUAAAAACCCACGAUCCCAAAGAAGCCGUUAAGAAAUAUCAGUGUAAACAAUGCGAAUACUCCUCAAUGUAUUAUGGUAACUUAAGCCGUCACGUGAAGUUGAUUCAUUGCAGCAAAGAGGAGGUUAAUUAUAAACAGUGUCCGAACUGCCCAUUUAAAUCAUUAGAGAAUGCACGACUGAAACGCCAUAUAAAAGAGAUGCAUUCGGAAGACGCCCCACAGUUCAAAUGUAACUUUUGUAGCUUUUCAUCAAAGUUCAAUUCUUGCCUUAAGAGACAUAUAGAUGCGGCCCAUAUCAAUACGGAUCCCGUGGAAUGUCCUAUAUGUCAUAAACCUUCUGCGAAUAUUUAUACUUUAAGGAUACAUAUGAAACGCCACAGGGAGCAAGGAGAGACCCAGAAAUGUCCCGAGUGUUUGUACCAAACCAAAUAUGAGAACCGAUUUAAGGCUCAUAUGAUUACCAAGCAUGGGACAUUGAAAGAGGGUCUAGAGGUUCCAGCUUCAACGAAUAAUACAUAAAACAGGACAUUCCAAAGGCACGGAGGCCAUAUUAUAGCGAAUUUCUUCUAAAUGCAUUGCCCUUUGGACUCGAUGUGCGUGCUGUUGAUUAAAAUCAGUCCUUGGACGCCACUCUGGAACCAUCUGCCAUGCCAGGACUUCCUGAAGACGCAUCCAGCUAAAAAAGAAACCGAAUUUAUAUAGAGAGCACUAUAACUACAUAAAUUGAAUAUUUUAUAAAAAUUCCUAUAAAAUUAAAGUGUUUUUUUAAAUUU